CCUACGGGAGGCAUCAGUGGGGAAUAUUGCACAAUGGGGGAAACCCUGAUGCAGCGACGCCGCGUGAGUGAAGAAGUAAUUCGUUAUGUAAAGCUCUAUCAGCAGGGAAGAAAAUGACGGUACCUGAGUAAGAAGCCCCGGGCAACUACGUGCCAGCAGCCGCGGUAAUACGUAGGGGGCAAGCGUUAUCCGGAUUUACUGGGGGUAAAGGGAGCGUAGACGGCAGUGCAAGUCUGGAGUGAAAGGCGGGGGGUCAACCCCCGGACGGCUCUGGAAACUGUACGGCUGGAGUGCAGGAGAGGUAAGUGGAAUGCCUGGUGUAGCGGUGAAAUGCGUAGAUAUUAGGAGGAACACCAGUGGCGAAGGCGGCUUACUGGACUGUAACUGACGUUGAGGCUCGAAAGCGUGGGGAGCAAACAGGAUUAGAUACCCGAGUAGUC
Molecule: ribosomal RNA, 440 nt
Filed under: uncultured bacterium
Lineage: Bacteria
Description: partial 16S ribosomal RNA
Rfam family: Bacterial small subunit ribosomal RNA
Source: RNAcentral